GACGAACGCUGGCGGCGUGCUUAACACAUGCAAGUCGAACGCUGAAGCCCAGCUUGCUGGGUGGAUGAGUGGCGAACGGGUGAGUAACACGUGAGUAACCUGCCCCCUUCUUUGGGAUAACGCCCGGAAACGGGUGCUAAUACUGGAUAUUCACUGGCCUUCGCAUGGGGGUUGGUGGAAAGGUUUUUUCUGGUGGGGGAUGGGCUCGCGGCCUAUCAGCUUGUUGGUGGGGUGAUGGCCUACCAAGGCUUUGACGGGUAGCCGGCCUGAGAGGGUGACCGGUCACAUUGGGACUGAGAUACGGCCCAGACUCCUACGGGAGGCAGCAGUGGGGAAUAUUGCACAAUGGGCGAAAGCCUGAUGCAGCGACGCCGCGUGAGGGAUGACGGCCUUCGGGUUGUAAACCUCUUUCGCUCAUGGUCAAGCCGCAACUUUAGGUUGUGGUGAGGGUAGUGGGUAAAGAAGCGCCGGCUAACUACGUGCCAGCAGCCGCGGUAAUACGUAGGGCGCGAGCGUUGUCCGGAAUUAUUGGGCGUAAAGGGCUGGUAGGCGGUUGGGCGCGUCUGCCCGGAAAUCCUCUGGCUUAACUGGGGCGUGCGGUGUGGUCGGGCUGACUUUGGUGGCGGUUGGGGAACUGGAACGCCGUGUGGGAUCGUGGUAAAUGCGCUUAUAUCAGGAUGAUGUCCGGUGGGCGAGUGUGGGUCUGUGGGGCGGGUCGGAUGCUGAGGAGUGAAGCCUGUGGAGUGAUUGGUGAAUAUGCUAUAGUCUGUGUUGAGUUGCUUUGGAGUCGCUUUUCUAUGCCGCGUGUCGCGUUGUGUCGCCUGUUCUAGUUGUGUUAUGUAUGUGUGGGUGAUUGACCGUGCAUGUGUGUGUUGGACUGCGCCGUCGUGGGUGUAGUGUGUGGGGGUGGUUGUGUGUUGUGUUUCUUGUUAUUUGUGUGUUUUGGAUGCCGUGUUGUGUGUAUAUGGAAAUGGUGAGGCUGGUGUUGUGUGUGUGGGAUGUGACUUGUGUUGGUGGUUGUGUUUUGUUGGUGGUGCUUGUAGUGUGUGUAAGUGUGGCUGUGCACCGUGAUGAGGUGGUGUGACC
This 1086-nucleotide ribosomal RNA is filed under the name uncultured Corynebacterium sp. Its description in RNAcentral is "bacterial SSU rRNA". The stretch from base 1 to 822 matches the Rfam family "Bacterial small subunit ribosomal RNA", at positions 28 to 873 of the family's 1533-position model. Lineage: Bacteria; Bacillati; Actinomycetota; Actinomycetes; Mycobacteriales; Corynebacteriaceae. The record is from RNAcentral.